UACGAGGGGGGCAAAUGUUGUUCGGAAUCACUGGGCGUAAAGGGAGCGUAGGCGGGUGUUUAAGUUAGGUGUUUAAUCCCGGGGCCCAACCCCGGACAGGCACCUAGAACUGGACAUCUUGAAUAGUGGAGAGGACGACGGAAUUGGGGGUGUAGCGGUGGAAUGCGUAGAGAUCCCCAAGAACACCAGUUGCGAAGGCGGUCGUCUGGACACAUAUUGACGCUGAGGCUCGAAAGCAUGGGGAGCAAACAGG
This 253-nucleotide ribosomal RNA is filed under the name uncultured bacterium. RNAcentral describes it as "partial 16S ribosomal RNA". It matches the Rfam family "Bacterial small subunit ribosomal RNA", at positions 524 to 776 of the family's 1533-position model. The record is from RNAcentral.